GUUUUUAAUUGAAAUCUGGAAUGAAAGGGUUGGAUGAAUAUUAACUGUUUCUUAAGAAAUUAUUGAAUUUUAUUUUUUAGUAAAAAAGCUAAAAUUUUAUAAAGGGACGAGAAGACCCUAUAGAGUUUUAUAUUAUAAUUAUUAUUUUUUAUUUGGUUAAUUUUAAAUUUUAUUUUUUAUAAUAUUUUAUUGGGGUGAUAUUAAAAUUUAAUAAACUUUUAAUUAAAUAUAAACAAUUAUUUUUGAAAAAUUGAUCCAUUUUUUAUGAUUAAAAAAUUAAAUUACCUUAGGGAUAACAGCAUAAUUUUUUUAUAAAGUUCAUAUUAGUAAAAAAGAUUAU
This 340-nucleotide ribosomal RNA is filed under the name Campylomyza flavipes. RNAcentral describes it as "partial 16S ribosomal RNA". The record is from RNAcentral. Lineage: Eukaryota; Metazoa; Arthropoda; Insecta; Diptera; Cecidomyiidae.